This is a non-coding RNA of Paramuricea clavata, 922 nucleotides long. NCBI's taxonomy places the organism in Eukaryota, Metazoa, Cnidaria, Anthozoa, Malacalcyonacea, Plexauridae. The record is from the annotation of a GenBank genome assembly.
CAAAAUAAUUCAGGCAAAACCGGUCUUUUGUUAAAAGGAAGACUGGUUAAUAGAAAUUGGUCGCUUUGAGUAAUUUUAUCGUGUGGCGUCAUCGACCGUGUCGUUGAACAAUGAAAACAUUUGUUGUGAAAUUAGCGAAGAUAAAAUAGCAUUUUGUGAGAAAGCUGCGAAUUUAUGGCGCGGGAGGUUUUCGGAUUCGAACUCAGCGUGCUUGAAAGUGUUAGUUCCCGUAAAAAUAUUUCAGUUCCAAGACAUGCUUAAUGAAAGUGAACGAUAUCAGGGCGCAGCAAACGGCCUAAAAAUACAUGAAAAAUUUAAAUAAAAUAUAAAACCACGCACGAGCGUUUGAAUGAUUUCUUUCAAGAGUCGCACGCUUCGCUUACUGCUUUUUUGUUUACUUUUGACUUUUCGCGAACAACCCGUCGAACUGUUGUUUUAAAAAUACACAGCUCGUCAGCUUUGAAAAUAUUUCAAAAACAGGCCAAAACAGUCAUGAUAUUAAACAGUCAUGAUAUUAUAAGAGGACAAAAAAGGAAAAACAGACUUAAUUAAAAGUCCAGAAGACAGAACUGUAAAAAAUAUGGUUUCCCGGUUGCAGUAGUUUACGUUAAAAAGAAGUAGCUAUAAAAUGCACGCAAAGCAAUCCUAAUGUCGUUGAAAUCGAUGAGUAAAAAAAAGUAAAAAAUAGUUAACAAAAGUAAAAAAAAGUUUACUGAAAAGUUAGAUUAGGGUUAGGGGUUAGGUGCCGCGAAUUUACAUGCCAUAUUGAUAAAUUCGUACGUGUUUAACAAUUUAUACUCAUAUAGUAAAUUCCAGCAUGAGCUUCACCUUUGAAUUUACUAUAUGAGUAAAUUCUUUAACAUGUCCGAAUUUAUUAAUAUGAUAAAUUCGCGGCACCUAACCACUAACCCCAACCCCCCCC